UCGAACGCUUCUUUCCUCCCGAGUGCUUGCACUCAAUUGGAAAGAGGAGUGGCGGACGGGUGAGUAACACGUGGGUAACCUACCCAUCAGAGGGGGAUAACACUUGGAAACAGGUGCUAAUACCGCAUAACAGUUUAUGCCGCAUGGCAUAAGAGUGAAAGGCGCUUUCGGGUGUCGCUGAUGGAUGGACCCGCGGUGCAUUAGCUAGUUGGUGAGGUAACGGCUCACCAAGGCCACGAUGCAUAGCCGACCUGAGAGGGUGAUCGGCCACACUGGGACUGAGACACGGCCCAGACUCCUACGGGAGGCAGCAGUAGGGAAUCUUCGGCAAUGGACGAAAGUCUGACCGAGCAACGCCGCGUGAGUGAAGAAGGUUUUCGGAUCGUAAAACUCUGUUGUUAGAGAAGAACAAGGACGUUAGUAACUGAACGUCCCCUGACGGUAUCUAACCAGAAAGCCACGGCUAACUACGUGCCAGCAGCCGCGGUAAUAC
Molecule: ribosomal RNA, 493 nt
Filed under: uncultured Enterococcus sp.
Lineage: Bacteria; Bacillati; Bacillota; Bacilli; Lactobacillales; Enterococcaceae
Description: bacterial SSU rRNA
Rfam family: Bacterial small subunit ribosomal RNA
Source: RNAcentral